This is a regulatory RNA element of 45 nucleotides. It matches the Rfam family "Histone 3' UTR stem-loop". From Rfam's summary of the family: The mRNAs of metazoan histone genes lack a poly-A tail. 3' end processing occurs at a site between a highly conserved stem-loop (modelled by this family) and a purine rich region around 20 nts downstream (the histone downstream element, or HDE). The record is from Rfam.
UCAAAGGCUUUUUUCAAAGCCACCCAUACACCAAAGAAUCAAUUU